Molecule: long non-coding RNA, 384 nt
Filed under: Gallus gallus (chicken)
Lineage: Eukaryota; Metazoa; Chordata; Aves; Galliformes; Phasianidae
Source: RNAcentral
AGUCUGUUGAUGCCAAAGACUGCUUGGCUAUAGAACAUCCAGAAGUGACCAUUAUUACAGGAUAGCAGGCAAGGUUUGCAGGGAGAAAUCACAUGAUAACCGACAAUGUUACCACACUUCAAACACGCGAUGUUCUUCAGUUUGCACUUGCAGAUCUCAGUGAAAUAGCAGCUGCCGAUGAAGUCAAUGGUGCCCGAGGGCGGGAUGUCGGUGGAGUAGAGGUCGGUGUCGGUGUCGGCCAGCAGCACGGCCUUCAUCCCCCGCGAGCUCAGCACCUGUUGGCAGAAGCGGCAGCACAGCACGGUCACGCUCCGGUCUGCGAAAGUACAGCCGUUGCCCGACAUCGCGGGCGGCCGCCGCUGGGCCCCGCCGCUCCUGUCCGGG